RNAcentral lists this transfer RNA (87 nucleotides) under Fidelibacterota bacterium. RNAcentral describes it as "tRNA-Ser". It matches the Rfam family "tRNA". From Rfam's summary of the family: Transfer RNA (tRNA) molecules are approximately 80 nucleotides in length. Their secondary structure includes four short double-helical elements and three loops (D, anti-codon, and T loops). The record is from RNAcentral. Lineage: Bacteria; Pseudomonadati; Fidelibacterota.
GGAGAGAUGGCAGAGCCUGGCUGAAUGCGCCGCACUCGAAAUGCGGUUUACCUUCGGGUAACGGGGGUUCGAAUCCCUCUCUCUCCG